GCCGCCAAGCGUCGCUACGGCUGCUCACUGCGCAAGCGCGGGCUCGAGGCCGCCCACGCUGUCGCGCAAGCGCAGCGUCCAACGAGCCCCUCGGCUCACCAAUAUGCAGGCGGGGCUCCCCAACGGCCGCCGAAAUCCGGCAUGGCGCACGCGCGUUCUCCCCACAACCCACGCAACUGCACAGGCGCACAUCGCCUGGGCCCGAAAAGGCGCUCGCGCCCCCCCACUCGUUGACGCUGUGCGCAGACUCCAAUUGUUUUCCCUCAGCCGCCGUAAAAACCGCAUGCAGCGUCUUCGAUCUGACCAUCUAGCUGCGCACGCGCAGCCUCCCCCUCAGUCUGUGUAGCACUCGCGCUGCCUACGUGUUGAUUGUAACAACAGCAACAAAACAUCAAUGUGAUAGUAAAGGACCACGAGGACCCCAGUCAUGCCAAAGGAUCCUUGAAGGCAAUGAAGAGUGCUCUACACAGGUGCCUUCACAGGGCAGCAGGGAGUUCACUGGACCAAGCAUGGAUCUUUGUGCUGUAACACUAAUGCUUUGUUAGUUGCUAAGGUACUGCAGAGCUGAGUGUGGUGUAAGCGCUUAGUGCUUGUCUACAUGGGGACACGCAGGAAAGUAAUCUGAUAAAUUAAAGCACAUUAUUAAACCCCUGUGUUGACACUCUUAUUCAGAA
Gopherus evgoodei (Goodes thornscrub tortoise) is the source of this 674-nucleotide long non-coding RNA. RefSeq lists it as uncharacterized. NCBI's taxonomy places the organism in Eukaryota, Metazoa, Chordata, Testudines, Testudinidae. The record is from RefSeq and is a predicted model, not a curated record. The transcript is spliced from 4 exons.